Molecule: ribosomal RNA, 112 nt
Filed under: Tulasnella sp.
Lineage: Eukaryota; Fungi; Basidiomycota; Agaricomycetes; Cantharellales; Tulasnellaceae
Description: partial large subunit ribosomal RNA
Rfam family: Bacterial large subunit ribosomal RNA
Source: RNAcentral
AUUUAMUUGUCCAUUAAAUGUGGUCCUGACUGAAUAAAGUAACGAUGGUCUCGCUGUCUCUACAAGUAUCUCAGUGAAAUUGAAUUAGCCGUGCAGAUGCGGUUUAACUUCG